GCUGUCGUAGCUCAGCCGGCAGAGCAGCGCAUUCGUAACGUGCAGGCCGCUGGUUCGAUUCCAGCCGACAGCACCA
Molecule: transfer RNA, 76 nt
Filed under: Planctomycetota bacterium
Lineage: Bacteria; Pseudomonadati; Planctomycetota
Description: tRNA-Thr
Rfam family: tRNA
About the family: Transfer RNA (tRNA) molecules are approximately 80 nucleotides in length. Their secondary structure includes four short double-helical elements and three loops (D, anti-codon, and T loops).
Source: RNAcentral